UACGUAGGGCGCAAGCGUUGUCCGGAAUUAUUGGGCGUAAAGAGCUCGUAGGCGGCUUGUCACGUCGGGUGUGAAAGCCCGGGGCUUAACCCCGGGUCUGCAUUCGAUACGGGCAGGCUAGAGUGUGGUAGGGGAGAUCGGAAUUCCUGGUGUAGCGGUGAAAUGCGCAGAUAUCAGGAGGAACACCGGUGGCGAAGGCGGAUCUCUGGGCCAUUACUGACGCUGAGGAGCGGAAGCGUUGGGAGCGAACAGG
This 253-nucleotide ribosomal RNA is filed under the name uncultured bacterium. RNAcentral's name for it is "partial 16S ribosomal RNA". It matches the Rfam family "Bacterial small subunit ribosomal RNA", at positions 524 to 776 of the family's 1533-position model. The record is from RNAcentral.